CAUUAUUGAAUAUUCUUGAUGGGUUGUAGCUGGCUCUCYGGAGCAUGUGCACACUUGUCUUGACUUUAUUCGUCCACCUGUGCACCUUUUGUAGUCUUGGGGGUUGAGAGCAGUCGACUAUCGGAUGGCUAUGGCCUUUCCGGACAUGAGGAUUGCUGAGUGCGAAAGCAUACAGCUCUUCUCAAAUGACUUCUCCCUCGAGUACUAUGUAUUCAUAUACCACAUAGUAUGUUGUAGAAUGUGAUCAAUGGGCCUAUGUGCCUAUAAUAAUGAAAUACAACUUUCAGCAACGGAUCUCUUGGCUCUCGCAUCGAUGAAGAACGCAGCGAAAUGCGAUAAGUAAUGUGAAUUGCAGAAUUCAGUGAAUCAUCGAAUCUUUGAACGCACCUUGCGCUCCUUGGUAUUCCGAGGAGCAUGCCUGUUUGAGUGUCAUUAAAUUCUCAACCCCUCCAGCUUUUGCGAGUUGUGAUGGGGCUUGGAUCUGGGAGUUUGCGGGUCUUUAUCAAUAAAGGUCAGCUCUCCUGAAAUGCAUUAGCGGAACCGUUUGCAGUCCCGUCACUAGUGUGAUAAUUAUCUACACUGUGAUGAUUGCUCUCUGACUAGUUCAGCUGCUAAUCGUCCACUAUGGACAACACUUAAUGAAAUUCUUGACCUCAAAUCAGGUAGGACUACCCGCUGAACUUAAGCAUAUCAAUAAGCGGAGGAAAAGAAACUAACAAGGAUUCCCCUAGUAACUGCGAGUGAAGCGGGAAAAGCUCAAAUUUAAAAUCUGGCGGUCUCUGGCCGUCCGAGUUGUAAUCUAGAGAAGUGAUGCCCGCGCUGGACCGUGUACAAGUCUCCUGGAAUGGAGCGUCAUAGAGGGUGAGAAUCCCGUCUCUGACACGGACUACCAGGGCUUUGUGGUAUCCUCUCAAAGAGUCGAGUUGUUUGGGAAUGCAGCUCUAAAUGGGUGGUAAAUUCCAUCUAAAGCUAAAUAUNGGCGAGAGACCGAUAGCGAACCAGUACCGUGAGGGAAAGAUGAAAAGAACUUUGGAAAGAGAGUUAAACAGUACGUGAAAUUGCUGAAAGGGAAAC
This 1074-nucleotide ribosomal RNA is filed under the name Utraria frigida. Its description in RNAcentral is "eukaryotic LSU rRNA". The stretch from base 649 to 1074 matches the Rfam family "Eukaryotic large subunit ribosomal RNA", at positions 1 to 420 of the family's 3401-position model. The record is from RNAcentral. Lineage: Eukaryota; Fungi; Basidiomycota; Agaricomycetes; Agaricales; Lycoperdaceae.